UCCAGACAGUUCACUCUGCCACCCCCAUGAAUCAUCCUGUUCCGGCCUAAGACUAUCACAUGAGAACAAUGAUAUGCUAGUAGUGAGGUUUGAAGAGUUGGAGGUUAAGGAGGCAAUUUGGGAUUAUGGGAGCACUAAAAGUCCAACACCAGAUGGAUACAAUUUCAAAUUCAUAAAGACCUUUUGGACCUCACUAAAUGGAGAUAUCGUGCGCUUUGUGGAAGGGUUCCAUAGAUUCAGCUUAUUUGGCCUAUGACUCAGUGUCUUGGUCUUCUCUUAUCGACAUGUUUCAUAGGUUGGGGCUUUUGCAAAACAUGGAUAAAAUGGAUUGUAGGGCAUCUAUCUUCUAGCUUAGUUACAAUUUAACCAAGUAAGCAAAUCGAGAGGUCAUUCCACCCUUUGUCCUCGAAUAUGGCCAGCAAGCGAUCCCAGUUCGCGGCAGAGAACAAGACAGCAAGUGAGCGUACAUUUGCUCACUUCUUCUCCAUCACGACGCUGGAGUCUGGAGAUACAACAUACAAGGUGUAGUGAGUGAGGUUGGGUGGCAAUAAUAUAUGUAUCUUUUUUGCUAAAUUUUAAGAGAGACUAGAGUCUCCAAGUUCUAUUUUAUUAUUUAGCCCUAUUGUUGUUAGGUAUUCAAACAAGGGAGCACAUUCAAUUUUUUCAUGUUUGUAAUAUUUUAGG
Molecule: non-coding RNA, 684 nt
Organism: Cajanus cajan (pigeon pea)
Lineage: Eukaryota; Viridiplantae; Streptophyta; Magnoliopsida; Fabales; Fabaceae
Source: RefSeq, a predicted model, not a curated record